RNAcentral lists this long non-coding RNA (1866 nucleotides) under Homo sapiens (human). RNAcentral's name for it is "HSALNT0402123". The record is from RNAcentral. Lineage: Eukaryota; Metazoa; Chordata; Mammalia; Primates; Hominidae.
GUUUUACCCGCGGAGACGCCGAGGCCCGAUGCCGUAUCCUGCCGCCCGUUUUACCCGCGGGAAAGCCGAGGCCCGGUGCUGUAUUCUGCCGCCCAUUUUACCCGCGGGGAAGCUGAGGCCCAGUGCUGUUUAAUAUCUUACUCAUGUUCACUUGAUGAGAAAGUGACAGAUCUGAGACAAACCCAGAAUUUAAGAGACACCAGAGGAUGGCACAUUUAUACUGAGCUUGCAGUUUCCUAAACAUGAAGAAGAUGAACGGCUCUCAGUUAAGCAGCACGGGUCAGAUAGGAGCUUGAAAUUGAAUAUUUGAGCUGACACGGGAGAGACAUACUUUUGAGAUUCCAAAUACGAUUUCUGUGGAGAAAACAAAAAAGGACUCUGUUUUUAAUUCAAAAGGGAGAAGUGAAAUUCUACCUCACUUUUUUAAAAGAAGAGCCUGGAAUUGGCCUAUCCGUCUUUUUCCCCGUUGGAUCACAGAGCAGAAAGGAAGGUGGGCGUUUGUGUUCUGGGUGUUGUCCACGCUGGACGUGCCAGCAUCUCCCACUGAGCCAGAUGUUCCAGGGCUAAGGCCAGUUUCAUUUGAAGGCACAGCCUUACUAUAUCAUAUUAAUCUGAUGCCAAGUUUUUGGAUGUUAUGAGCAACCACCUCAUUUAUUUUUUGUGGUUGUUUAACCACAAUGAGUAAGGUGAGAAAACUGUGAUGCGGUCGACUGGCACCUAGCAUUGCCCCCAUCUGGAACAUCUGCAGCCUAGAUCUGUUCUGAUGAAGUAGAAGCCGCAGAUCUUAUCCUGAAACAGGCCAGGUGCAAGUGUCCUCUUAGAAGGGAUCAACCAUGGGAUGCGGCAUUAAGAGAAGAGAGAAGGACAUCCUUACAACUGUGCCUUUCUUUCAACUCAGUCGUGCGCAUUAGGCUUGUAUCAGUUAAAGUGCAGGCAAGAAAUUUCAAGCAGAAAGGGAGUCAGGUGCUCAUAGCAUUGCUGGCAGAAUUGAGAGCAGCGGGAGCCAUGGGAUGGGGGUGCUGCCUGGAAAUCAGGAAACUGGAGAAGCCUGCUGGAACCUGCUGAGGAACCCAUCACUGCAGCAAGAGACUGAUGGUGGACUGCAGGGGCCAGGAAGGUGCAGGAAGCCCCUGCUGCUGCAGGAGAAAGGAUGAAGGAUGGUUAUCUUCCACCUUCCAAAUCUCACAGGAACACCUCUUCUAGGUGGAAUCCAAACCAGAUUCCUUCUGGAAAGGGAUUCUGGAAAGUGUAGUUCUUAUGCUUCCAGCCUCUGAGAUAAGCAAGGACAAUUGCUGGAGGCGAGGGUGUCGCUGAAUACCAAGGAAGGAUAGCAGGUGUAGUUGCCCACAUGGCCACUCAGCAUCCACAUGGACAUCCCACCCAUGUUAAUUUCCAAAGAGCCAUCACAGAAACAUCAUCAUGCUUCCUCACAAAGAAGAAAUGCUCACCUCCACCCCAAUAGAAAGGGUCCAGGUAUCCAUCUCUGAGUGAUGGUCACCCUCCAUAUUCAGUAAAAAACACCCUCGGAUAGACUGUGGUUGAAAGACUAAACCUUUAGGUUAGCCACAGUCAAUAUAUCUUAUAUAAAAUAAGAGAGGCGGGGAGAGCAGGGGAAAGAGAUACUGGGUUAUGUGUGUAAAAACAUACACAAUAAAGCAAACAAGAAACGCUGUGUAGUUCCUAGAGUCCUCAUCUCUACCAGUGGUCACAAGGCUUUUGUGAUGGGUAAUUUUAGGUGUCAGCUUGACUGGACUGAGGAAUGCCUAGAUGGCUGCUGAAGCAUUGCUUCUAGGUGUCUGUGAGGAUGUUUCCAGGGGAGAAGGGCAUGUGAGUAGACUGAGAAAGACCCCCCUCAGUGUGGAUGGC